UGGUUCUGGCAUCGAUGAAGAACGCAGCGAAAUGCGAUAAGUAAUGCGAAUUGCAGAGCAGUGAGUCAUCGAAUCUUUGAACGCACAUUGCGCCCUUUGGCAUUCCGAGGGGCAUGCCUGUCCGAGCGUCAUUAACAACCUUCAAGCCUGGCUUGCUGUUGGAUCUCUGCCGGUGGUGAAUCGGACAGGAUCCCAAAGACAAUGGCGGAGUCGUGUCGGACCCAGACGCAACGAGCUCUCUGUAGCACGCGUGUUGGUGGCCGGGCGCUCCAGUCUCGACAUCUUUUUUCUCAGGUUGACCUCGGAUCAGGUAGGAAUACCCGCUGA
This 327-nucleotide unclassified non-coding RNA is filed under the name uncultured fungus. Its description in RNAcentral is "partial contains 5.8S ribosomal RNA and internal transcribed spacer 2". The stretch from base 1 to 131 matches the Rfam family "5.8S ribosomal RNA", at positions 22 to 154 of the family's 154-position model. The record is from RNAcentral. Lineage: Eukaryota; Fungi.